This 379-nucleotide ribosomal RNA is filed under the name Burkholderia cenocepacia. RNAcentral describes it as "bacterial SSU rRNA". It matches the Rfam family "Bacterial small subunit ribosomal RNA", at positions 1157 to 1533 of the family's 1533-position model. Lineage: Bacteria; Pseudomonadati; Pseudomonadota; Betaproteobacteria; Burkholderiales; Burkholderiaceae. The record is from RNAcentral.
GACAAACCGGAGGAAGGUGGGGAUGACGUCAAGUCCUCAUGGCCCUUAUGGGUAGGGCUUCACACGUCAUACAAUGGUCGGAACAGAGGGUUUGCCAACCCGCGAGGGGGGAGCUAAUCCCAGAAAACCGAUCGUAGUCCGGAUUGCACUCUGCAACUCGAGUGCAUGAAGCUGGAAUCGCUAGUAAUCGCGGAUCAGCAUGCCGCGGUGAAUACGUUCCCGGGUCUUGUACACACCGCCCGUCACACCAUGGGAGUGGGUUUUACCAGAAGUGGCUAGUCUAACCGCAAGGAGGACGGUCACCACGGUAGAUUCAUGACUGGGGUGAAGUCGUAACAAGGUAGCCGUAUCGGAAGGUGCGGCUGGAUCACCUCCUUUC